This is a small nucleolar RNA of Callithrix jacchus (white-tufted-ear marmoset), 93 nucleotides long. Lineage: Eukaryota; Metazoa; Chordata; Mammalia; Primates; Cebidae. The record is from Ensembl.
GUCCUUUUUAAAUUCCUAAGUAUGACGAUUGGGUUCCACGCUCAAACCUGAGUGUGAACAUUUUUACAACAUCAGCACAUUACCAGUCUGACG